AUCAGGCUCAGGACGAACGCCGGUGGCGUGCUUAACACAUGCAAGUCGAACGCUGAAGCUCCAGCUUGCUGGGGUGGAUGAGUGGCGAACGGGUGAGUAAUACGUGAGUAACCUGCCCUUGACUUUGGGAUAAGCCUGGGAAACCGGGUCUAAUACAGGAUACGACGUCCUGCCGCAUGGUGGGGCGUGGAAAGGGUUUUACUGGUUUGGGAUGGGCUCACGGCCUAUCAGCUUGUUGGUGGGGUAAUGGCCUACCAAGGCGACGACGGGUAGCCGGCCUGAGAGGGUGACCGGCCACACUGGGACUGAGACACGGCCCAGACUCCUACGGGAGGCAGCAGUGGGGAAUAUUGCACAAUGGGCGCAAGCCUGAUGCAGCGACGCCGCGUGAGGGAUGACGGCCUUCGGGUUGUAAACCUCUUUCAGCAGGGAAGAAGCCACAAGUGACGGUACCUGCAGAAGAAGCGCCGGCUAACUACGUGCCAGCAGCCGCGGUAAUACGUAGGGCGCAAGCGUUGUCCGGAAUUAUUGGGCGUAAAGAGCUCGUAGGCGGUUUGUCGCGUCUGCUGUGAAAGCCCGGGGCUCAACCCCGGGUCUGCAGUGGGUACGGGCAGACUAGAGUGCAGUAGGGGAGACUGGAAUUCCUGGUGUAGCGGUGAAAUGCGCAGAUAUCAGGAGGAACACCGAUGGCGAAGGCAGGUCUCUGGGCUGUUACUGACGCUGAGGAGCGAAAGCAUGGGGAGCGAACAGGAUUAGAUACCCUGGUAGUCCAUGCCGUAAACGUUGGGCACUAGGUGUGGGGGACAUUCCACGUUCUCCGCGCCGUAGCUAACGCAUAAGUGCCCCCCCCGCC
RNAcentral lists this ribosomal RNA (853 nucleotides) under Rothia halotolerans. Its description in RNAcentral is "bacterial SSU rRNA". It matches the Rfam family "Bacterial small subunit ribosomal RNA", at positions 17 to 873 of the family's 1533-position model. Lineage: Bacteria; Bacillati; Actinomycetota; Actinomycetes; Micrococcales; Micrococcaceae. The record is from RNAcentral.